GUCAGGUGGUCAGGUGGCCCCGCCAAACCUAGCUUGCUGGCGUCACAUUUAAAUAAGUUCUCUGCGACAUGGAGUUUACCCCCAACGUUAUAGAGGCCACGUACAGGAGAAGGCAAUGACUCAGCUUGGGAGUGCUCAUCCCUGUUAGCCCAUUUAUACCAGCCGUUCCUGAUGGAGAUACUAUUCCCGAGGCUGUCAACCUUCACAGUGCUUAUUUAAAGGGGCAGAUCCUUGCCUGGCCGGGUUAUUGUGCAAAAAUUGAUUUUCCUAAAACCCUGUGUGCCAGAAGACAUUAGUCAGCGUUGUCUGGGAGCCGGUGCGGUACAUGAGAAAGGGAACCGCAUGUUACAGAAGAAGAGGCACCCAACUGCAAGCAAGAUGGAUGACAAGGGCCUCGCCAUACCUCAACUCAAUGCUGGAUCUCCAAAGAGGAAGUUUCUUUUUUCAAAAAAAGACAGAAGACACAGAAGAAGAAGAUCAUUUGAGGAGAGCGGGAGAUCGUGACAAGCCUGACAAGGAGCACCUAAUCCCCGCGGAACCUCGUGGCACACUAUUCACCCCUGAAAAUCUCACUCUGUUCAGCCAGUAGGAGUCGUGAAUGCAGUUGAGAGGGUGCGAUCCCUCACUAAAUUCACACCUGAGCACGCUGCCAGUCUGGCCAAGUCGGAAGGAAUUCGUCUGGGGACUGAACCAGAGUACCUG
Molecule: long non-coding RNA, 702 nt
Organism: Mugil cephalus (flathead mullet)
Lineage: Eukaryota; Metazoa; Chordata; Actinopteri; Mugiliformes; Mugilidae
Exons: 5
Source: RefSeq, a predicted model, not a curated record